GAUAGUACGACAAAGUACCCUGACAAAACUAUUUUGCUUGUUGCCAGAUGUGGAUGUGUUAUUUUGAGUGUAGUUGGCCGAAGCAUCCAUAAUUUUUUAGUCAAUGCUUUCUCUGUGACUAGUUGUAUCUGCCCAGCUGACCAAGGCUGUAGCAUGCUCCGUAGUAGAUUAAAUACUCAUGUCCAUGUCCUGUUUAUUCCGAUCAUCAUUUUGCACUACUAUCUUGUAAUACAACAAACUCCUCGUGCGCCUUAUUUUUUAGGUUAAUUUCCCUUAUGUGGGACAAGGUUGGAAAUAGAGUGGCCAAAUGGCUGUAAAACAUGCCUUCCUUUUUCUUUUGCUUUCGUUUUGUAUCAUAUUGUGUGUACAUUCUCUUGAAUUAUCUUCACCUCUGCACUUACUUGUUUGCUCUGAAUAAUUGUAUAUAAGUUCCAGAUUUGUGAUUAGUUUCCUAGCAUGGAAGUUUUGGUCCGUAAAAUCUAGCUAGCUAAAUUAGGGAUUACCUGAUGUAGGUAUGUAUGAUUGCAAGUGUUUUGAUGAUUAGGUCAAGCUAGAAAGUCUUUGGAUUCAACAAGGCUUAAACUAUUAGUCUUUGGAUGGACAAACUCUUCAGUAACUGUUAGGAUUUUGUUUGUUUUUCUAUAUGCUGAUCAGUAAUGUUGGUUUUGCGAUUUUUUGCCGUGCAGGUUUGAGGCCGCACUUCGUCGGGCUAAAAGCCAUCCGACACCAUCAUUCUCCUCCAAGUCAACAACUUCAUCGACACCAUCAUUCUCCUCCAAGUCAUAGCUGCAACAAAACAAGGAAGCUAUAAUGAUUUUGCCAUUGCUAGAUCUGCACCAAUUAAUAAAUUCAGGACCCAUGUGGGGUUUAGGCUUCAUUAAGUAAGUAAUACAUCUCCAAGAAUCAUCAUCUGGUUGGGUAACCUGACCUCUCAACUUCGUUGUGUUCUCGUGAAUGCUGCUGGCAUGGAAAGUUUUGCCAUUAAGAGGACAGAUCUCAUUUUGAUGGAAAGCAGCAUUUAGUAAUCAAUUUUAGGGUAUUUCCUUAGAUAACAGGUGUUUAGUGCAUCUCAUCCUAAGAAAGGUUUGAAGGAUACAAGACAUGUUGUACAACCUAACGUAUAAUCUGACCAAGUUUCUUUGACAUUGGAAGAGGUUAAACAAGAUGAGUCCAAUGUUAAAUCUGAUGAUCUCACAGGAAGGACUGAGCUUAAAUCCUCAGAACAUGGGAAAGAGCUGAAGAACGUAAUGCAAAUGAAGAUUCUCCAAUGGAGCAGAUUGUGCCACCAUCUAAGAAUCUUGCAAGAACUUCCUGGAGAAUCGACUGAUUUGUACGGCCAUUUACCCGGGAGUUGUGCAACAACUUCUUGGUAAAACUGGAUCUAUCUGUAGCUUCUGGAUGGAUCAUAUGAAGACAGUAUGUUUCUUCAUUAUUAACAACUUCAGAC
Molecule: long non-coding RNA, 1447 nt
Organism: Lolium perenne
Lineage: Eukaryota; Viridiplantae; Streptophyta; Magnoliopsida; Poales; Poaceae
Source: RefSeq, a predicted model, not a curated record